GUAUUUGAAUUUAUAAUUUAUUUUUUGUGAAUUGAAUGAUUUUCAUGGAAUGUUGGUUUUGUUUUGCUGAAUUGGUCUAAAAUUUUUCCUUAAGUCUCUAUUUGAACAUGUUCAUGUUCUUGAAUGACAAAAUAUGCCACUAGAAAUUAAUGUUGUUUAUGAGAGUUUAGAUACUGAGAUAUUUGCUGAAUCUUUUUGCGCACACAAGUUUUGUGGUAAUAUAGUAGUUUAACACAUGUAGCUAGAGGAGUUUCUUGCUGAAGUUUUCUUGUGAGAGUUGAGCCACCUUGCACUAAAAUAGCAAUGAGUAUUCAUUGAUUUUGUGAAUUGAAAACUCUUUUGAGAAUAUAUGGUUUGUGGUAAGAUGGUAAGUUACUUAGAAAAUGAUAAAGGUCAAUUUAGGAUUAAUAUAUAAGCCUUUCAAGCCUUCUUUUUCAAUAAUUACAACCCCUAGUAGCCAUGUUGAGCCAUACAUACAUGUAUAACCUUUUCUUCAUACACCCAUGUUAUACAUACUUCUCUACAUUGGAGUAUGGUCUAUCCAUGUAUUUACACAAUCUUUUACUUCCAAGCGUGUAGUAAGUAUUAAAUGAUUAUUUGUGAAUAAUAGAAACAAGAAAAUGACAAGAGUUAGUGUAUGCUCAAGUAAAACACCCCUAAAAAAAAAACGAAAAACGAAAAAAAAAAUGAUUGAUUUUGGGGUUGAAAUAUCGAAGAG
This 718-nucleotide long non-coding RNA is filed under the name Olea europaea subsp. europaea. Lineage: Eukaryota; Viridiplantae; Streptophyta; Magnoliopsida; Lamiales; Oleaceae. The record is from RNAcentral.